This 2486-nucleotide unclassified non-coding RNA is filed under the name Sitophilus oryzae (rice weevil). RNAcentral describes it as "uncharacterized LOC115887516, transcript variant X2". The record is from RNAcentral. Lineage: Eukaryota; Metazoa; Arthropoda; Insecta; Coleoptera; Curculionidae.
CAGAUGUAUUUCAUUUGUUGUUAUCAUUUAGCGUUCUUUAAAUAUUUCUAUUUUUUGCCAGUUUGAUUCUCCUCCCUGCGUGCAGUGUGGAAAUAUAAUUGUUUAGAGUUUUCAAAUGACGUACAGUGUUGUAGUAUAAUAACAUUAAUUAGAAGAACUUUUGGGGAUUAAUAAUUCGUUUUUGUGACUGUGUGAAAAAUGAGUUGCCCGAAAAAGAUUGCGUUGAAACACGCAGCGGCAGUUCCGCUGUUGAAGAAAAAAUCGUUUGAACGAAUGACAGAAGGCUACCCAAUUCAUCCUAAGCCCGACUGCAAUAAAUGCGUUGCUUGUUUGCAAAAAAGAAACAUAGAGGAAUACACUGCAACUCCUCUUCUAGCCUGCAAGGAACACUCCGUUAUAAAAAGCCCAAAGUGUCAUGACAAAGUUUUACUUGUAUUAUUCGUAUUUUUGAUUAUUCUUGCUCUUGCUCUUGGGAUUUUAUUAAUUUUAGAAGAGGACGAAUCCCAUAUAAUAGAAGAAUUUGACUACCUCUCUAGAAAUGAAUGGGGUUCUAACACGACAGCAUUCAGGAAAUUACCCCGGUUAAGGAGACCGGUGCCCAAAGUGUUUCUGGUCGAAAUGAACACUGAAUGCGACAAUAACAUUUGUACCGGCUUUAAGGAAUUUGAAGAAAACGGCAAGAAAAAAAUUAAGCUGGACGAAGGAAUAAUGUACAAUUUUUAUCAAGACCAAAGUGGUAAAAUUUUUGAAGGGAGGGGAUGGAACUAUCAGUCGGUUUGUCAAGAAAGCAAUAACUGUAAAGGGACUGUAACCAUAGCUCUCUUAGAUGGUGUUAGUUCCCCACCUUCCCCUUUACGCAUCACGAAAUUGAAAGCCUUUUUGAAUUUUUCUAUAUCCAGUGGAGACCUAAAGAUGUGCUUUCAAGUCAUAGUUAAGCAUACAAACAACAGAUACUACGAUGAUAUAGCGAUUGCUUUGGACGAGAUGGUUAAGAAAGACGGAGAAUGCAAAUAUAACAAAUGACACGAAUCCGGAUAAUAUAUAAUGUUAAUUUUAUGCUUUCUAUAUACUUUCAAAUAUACACAUAUAAUAAAUAUUUUGUUAACAACAUAAAUAUAGACACAAAAUGACAUACAUAUGACAAGAUUGACAAGGUAUAAAAAAAAUUUAAACUUAUUGAAAAAUAAGCACCAUGAAAUCAAUCAAGUAGUCAUCUGUAUAACCAUAAGUACAGCUUGUUUCAUGUUAAUUGGUUAUCUCUAGACUUAGUGUGGGAUUACAUGCAUCUGUAUGCGUUGUUCGUCGUUGAUUUUAUGCAAUUUUAUUGGUUUAUUUCAAAAAUGACAGCUCAAACUUAAAUAUGAUUGGAAUUUGAACGAUAGACAACAUUACAAAUGUAUAAGUAAUAAGUACCGUAUAAUCGAAAAAAAACGGCGUCCAGUUGGCUGGGAAAGGACGAUCGAUGACAUUUCCCAUAUCAAUUUACAUAUAAAAGGACAGUGAUCUUCAUUUCAUAGCCAUCGCUGACGUCGUUUUUAUUCGAUCAUACGAUAUAAACCUACAAUUAGCCCGUUAUCUGCUGCUCAUUCACUGGUAUUCACUGUAGGGUCCUGGUAUAUUUAUUAAAAAAAUAUAUAGUCGGUCCAGUAAAAGAAUAUAUAACCAUAACAGUUAUUUUCUGUCUUCUUUUUAAUAAUUUCAAUUUAAUUCCAUUUUGAAUUAAAAAGACUGGCAAUAGCUUUGUGCAUUUUUUUAUAUAUCGUUUCUGAAAGAAAUCAUAUAUUCUCUCGCUGGACAAACUAUAGAAGGUAUCGCAGUGUGGUAGGACCUUUAUAAUUUGAUAGUAGUGAAUAGAAAAAAUCACAUUUCAAAAUAGUUACCAGCAAUACCAGAAUAUUGUAUGAGCUAGGCUUCUGUUUUACCUGAUUAAUAAACGAUCUCAUAUUAUUUUAUACUUAUUCUGUCUCAGAUAUUGACCAGACAUUAGCCGAAAAUGACAUAGUAAUAUUUAUAAUUCAGACCCAUAUGUAUUUUAUAAUUCUGCGUUUCUAUAUUCUCAUAUUUUUGUUUGCCUAUUUAUUUUUUUAAUUUUAAGUAUUAUAACAUUUUUUAAAAACAAAAAAGAAAUUGAAGUAGAAUUGCAUCAUAAAGCACUCCCCCUCUGUUUAUGUCGUCUAUAAUCUGUCCAACGACUAAUGGAAGAUUUCGGCUCUUUUAAAUGUAUUGAUUUCGACAGACGACGUUCAAAAAUGAGAGAAAAUACAAUAUACCUGUGAAUUAAAAUAACAGACACUGUAAAUGAGAUAUUUUCCCGUUGGACAUAUUUUAGUUAACGUAACAACAUCGAAAUUAGUUAUAUGUUUCAUAAAAAUAUUUUAUAAAUAUUCCAAAUACAAAUAGUUUUUGAGAAAAAAAAUAAAUUAAUUACAAUACUACUACUGCAUUUUUGUUGUUUAAUUUUAUUUCCAUUGCAUUUAUAUAUAAUU